GGCGUGCCUAAUACAUGCAAGUCGAGCGGACAUUUGAGAGCUUGCUCUCAACUGUUAGCGGCGGACGGGUGAGUAACACGUGGGUAACCUGCCUGUAAGAUUGGGAUAACUCCGGGAAACCGGAGCUAAUACCGAAUAACAUUUUGAACCGCAUGGUUCGAAAUUGAAAGAUGGUUUCGGCUAUCACUUACAGAUGGACCCGCGGCGCAUUAGCUAGUUGGUGAGGUAAUGGCUCACCAAGGCGACGAUGCGUAGCCGACCUGAGAGGGUGAUCGGCCACACUGGGACUGAGACACGGCCCAGACUCCUACGGGAGGCAGCAGUAGGGAAUCUUCCGCAAUGGACGAAAGUCUGACGGAGCAACGCCGCGUGAACGAUGAAGGCCUUCGGGUCGUAAAGUUCUGUUGUUAGGGAAGAACAAGUACCAGAGUAACUGCUGGUACCUUGACGGUACCUAACCAGAAAGCCACGGCUAACUACGUGCCAGCAGCCGCGGUAAUACGUAGGUGGCAAGCGUUGUCCGGAAUUAUUGGGCGUAAAGCGCGCGCAGGCGGUUUUUUAAGUCUGAUGUGAAAGCCCACGGCUCAACCGUGGAGGGUCAUUGGAAACUGGAGAACUUGAGUGCAGAAGAGGAGAGCGGAAUUCCACGUGUAGCGGUGAAAUGCGUAGAGAUGUGGAGGAACACCAGUGGCGAAGGCGGCUCUCUGGUCUGU
This 713-nucleotide ribosomal RNA is filed under the name Bacillus sp. (in: firmicutes). RNAcentral's name for it is "bacterial SSU rRNA". It matches the Rfam family "Bacterial small subunit ribosomal RNA", at positions 41 to 737 of the family's 1533-position model. The record is from RNAcentral. Lineage: Bacteria; Bacillati; Bacillota; Bacilli; Caryophanales; Bacillaceae.